ACGGGUGAGUAAUACAUCGGAACGUGCCCAAGAGUGGGGGAUAACGGAGCGAAAGCUUUGCUAAUACCGCAUACGAUCUACGGAUGAAAGCAGGGGACCGCAAGGCCUUGCGCUCAUGGAGCGGCCGAUGGCAGAUUAGGUAGUUGGUGGGAUAAAAGCUUACCAAGCCGACGAUCUGUAGCUGGUCUGAGAGGACGACCAGCCAUACUGGGACUGAGACACGGCCCAGACUCCUACGGGAGGCAGCAGUGGGGAAUUUUGGACAAUGGGCGCAAGCCUGAUCCAGCCAUGCCGCGUGCAGGAUGAAGGCCUUCGGGUUGUAAACUGCUUUUGUACGGAACGAAAAGCCUCUUUCUAAUAAAGAGGGGUCAUGACGGUACCGUAAGAAUAAGCACCGGCUAACUACGUGCCAGCAGCCGCGGUAAUACGUAGGGUGCGAGCGUUAAUCGGAAUUACUGGGCGUAAAGCGUGCGCAGGCGGUAAUGUAAGACAGAUGUGAAAUCCCCGGGCUCAACCUGGGAACUGCAUUUGUGACUGCAUUGCUGGAGUGCGGCAGAGGGGGAUGGAAUUCCGCGU
This 576-nucleotide ribosomal RNA is filed under the name uncultured bacterium. RNAcentral's name for it is "bacterial SSU rRNA". It matches the Rfam family "Bacterial small subunit ribosomal RNA", at positions 102 to 674 of the family's 1533-position model. The record is from RNAcentral.